This 327-nucleotide ribosomal RNA is filed under the name uncultured eukaryote. Its description in RNAcentral is "partial 18S ribosomal RNA". It matches the Rfam family "Eukaryotic small subunit ribosomal RNA", at positions 1470 to 1796 of the family's 1831-position model. The record is from RNAcentral.
CCCUUAGAUGUUCUGGGCCGCACACGCGCUACACUGAAGGAGGCAGCGUGUACUCCUGGAUCGAAAGAUUUGGGUAACCCGCGAAUCUCCUUCGUGCUAGGGAUUGAGGUUUGCAAUUAUCCUUCAUGAACGAGGAAUUCCCAGUAAGUGCAAGUCAUAAGCUUGCGCUGACUACGUCCCUGCCCUUUGUACACACCGCCCGUCGCUACUACCGAUUGAAUGGUCCGGUGAAAAUUUCGGACAGUGACGAUGCUGGCGGUCCGCCGCCGGCGCUGUCGCUGGAAGAUCUUUAAACCUUAUCAUUUAGAGGAAGGAGAAGUCGUAACA